GCUUAGAUCAUUGAUAAUGUAUUGGGCGACACUUGUCAUAGACUCAGUUUCAGUGCGCAAAUUCGAGCGAUCGGAUAUUCCAAAGUAUACAUUUUAACAUUAAAAUAACGGAAGGGAAGCCUUAAUAAGAAAUAACCAUGAAAAACCCUCUGUUAAUAAGUUUGUGCUUGUAUUUCAUAUCAACAGUGGUUUUAGCAAACAGCGAAGAGAAUUAUGCAGAGAGAUCUUAAAAACGACAGCCUUCACUUACUUCAAACGUAACCAUGCCCACAAUUGAGCAACAUGCAAUGAUAUACAUUCCUCCACGUCCAUGUUACAGACGUGAUGCUUGCGGCAACUAUCGUAGAAUUCUUCAUCGUAAGGUUGCGAGGAUUGAAGACGUGGGAAUAAGAAGACGGAUCGAUUAUAUUAGGAUAUAUUAGACGAUUAUGUAAUACCGUCGUCGGGACAAUCAAUUCAAAUAGGCGACGAUUUCGACACUUCAAGUAGAUAAAUUCCUCUCUUAAAAAAAUGAUGGACUUUGUUGUGAAGCAUUUAAUACGUGAUUCUGAUUGGUUGCUGGUUGGUUGUCUAGGCAACGAGAUCAGAACCGCGCGCUUUAAAUUCAUAACCUCAAAACAGUAAUAACCCUGGUAGAAAUAUUUGAGGUGUUUAAAAUGAAAUUUGGAAACCUCGAUGGCAGAAAAAAUAUAUGAAAUGUAACUAGCAAGAAACCUUAGUAAAUUAAUCAUUACCAAGAGUGUAGUAUUAAAACAUGUGUAUUGAAAAGUGGCACCAUAACCCUAUUUAAAAGUAGUAAUAAUGUGUGUGAAUAUUAUUCAGUUUAUUGAAAUGUCAGUGAGAAGUGCAAUUAAAAGAAUGAAAAGUAUGAAGAUAUAAUACUGUGUCUCUAUAUGCCCAAAGUCACCUUCGAUGAGGUUUGAGAGGUGAAUUUAAAGAAAAGUUCAGUAUCCGAGUCAGUAAGUUUAAGUCUAUCAUCAUACAAUGCCCUUUGAAUUGUAAUAAUAGACGAACUCACUGACUCUUAUACUGAACUUUUCUUCAAAUUCACUACUCAAACCUUAAUGACGACGACAUUGGGAAUUAUUUAUUUUAAAAUAGCAUUGCGGGUAUGGUAAUGUAUCAAAUGCUUAUAAAAUAUUAGCAGAAGUUAGUGUGCCGCCCAACACUUAUAGUGAAUUUUCUACCAGAGUUAUUAAACAGAGAUAGAAUCAAGAGCGCGCGAAGCGCGCCUUCAUUCCUAGUAUAUGUAAAAAAUCAAUUAGAAUAAAUGUAUUUCGACACAAA
Long non-coding RNA from Nasonia vitripennis (jewel wasp), 1287 nucleotides. RefSeq lists it as uncharacterized. The transcript has 3 exons. NCBI's taxonomy places the organism in Eukaryota, Metazoa, Arthropoda, Insecta, Hymenoptera, Pteromalidae. The record is from RefSeq and is a predicted model, not a curated record.